ACGCAGCACGCAGGAGAGCCGAG
RNAcentral lists this microRNA (23 nucleotides) under Gallus gallus (chicken). RNAcentral describes it as "gga-miR-12207-5p". Lineage: Eukaryota; Metazoa; Chordata; Aves; Galliformes; Phasianidae. The record is from miRBase by way of RNAcentral.